This 467-nucleotide ribosomal RNA is filed under the name uncultured bacterium. Its description in RNAcentral is "partial 16S ribosomal RNA". It matches the Rfam family "Bacterial small subunit ribosomal RNA", at positions 28 to 507 of the family's 1533-position model. The record is from RNAcentral.
GACGAACGCUGGCGGCGUGCUUAACACAUGCAAGUCGAACGGAAAGGCUCCAGCUUGCUGGAGUACUCGAGUGGCGAACGGGUGAGUAACACGUGGGUAAUCUGCCCUGCACUCUGGGAUAAGCCUGGGAAACUGGGUCUAAUACUGGAUAUGACCUUUCUCCUUAUGGGGUUUGGUGGAAAGUUUUUCGGUGUAGGAUGAGCCCGCGGCCUAUCAGCUUGUUGGUGGGGUGAUGGCCUACCAAGGCGACGACGGGUAGCCGGCCUGAGAGGGUGAUCGGCCACAUUGGGACUGAGAUACGGCCCAGACUCCUACGGGAGGCAGCAGUGGGGAAUAUUGCACAAUGGGCGGAAGCCUGAUGCAGCGACGCCGCGUGAGGUAUGACGGCCUUCGGGUUGUAAACCUCUUUCAGCAGGGACGAAGCGUAAGUGACGGUACCUGCAGAAGAAGCACCGGCUAACUAUGUG